This 599-nucleotide long non-coding RNA is filed under the name Calidris pugnax (ruff). RNAcentral describes it as "lncRNA (ENSCPUG00000018896.1)". Lineage: Eukaryota; Metazoa; Chordata; Aves; Charadriiformes; Scolopacidae. The record is from RNAcentral.
AGGUGAUUGUCUCCUGUGACCAGGUUCAUGGCCCUCGAGACUGCAAGAGCAAGAUGGGCAACGAGCAAGCAGCCGCCUCUUUCCCAGGCACGAGUGCAUCGAUCCUCUGCGUCCUUGAAAUUCACCUCUUUAAGGUGAAUUAAAGUUGCACGGGCACAUGGUGAGGAUGGAUAAUCACCUCUGCUGUGUUACUUGGGAUGUGUCCAUACAGCUGACUGGGAAGGAGAAGGGGAUGCUAACAGCUGCCCCAGCAGACAGGUAUUGCGAGGUCAAAGGCUAGCAGAGCUGUGCACCUCCAGGAUUGGACUGCCAGCCAAGGAGACGGGUAGUUUCUCAAAAACUAAUAACAAAAAUAGCAACAAUGAUGAGAAGGCGACGGAGCUGACAACAAAAAUGAAAAGGAACCCGCAAGAAGUGGAUUCUGGGUAGCGCAACACUUGGCAGAGCUGAUUUUAAUAUCUGACAGGUUGAGUUCACUAAUCUUUGCUAUUCAUAUUGACGUGAAACUUCAUACAGUUUUAGAGAUUUGUAUCUAUUAAGACAUGCAGCAGUGUUCCUACAACACGGGAACAAGUUUGCUAGCGCCUGCCGUUCUUCUU